GACAGUGAGAGCAAGACAGUGGAAGAUGCAUGUCUAGACAUGCUAAAGAGUGGACAGCGCCAAAUGAGUUAUAGACUGAAACAGAAGUACUUCAAUGGGAUACCUGCUAAUCAAGUGAGGACUACAUCACCUAUUCCAAUCAUGUCUGACAACGACUGGAGAAAGUUGGUGCAGAAGUGGUCUACCCCAAAUCACAAGGAAAGUUGUGUGAAGAACAAACUUAAUCGUGAAAAAGUACA
Long non-coding RNA from Zea mays, 239 nucleotides. RefSeq lists it as uncharacterized. The transcript is spliced from 2 exons. The record is from RefSeq and is a predicted model, not a curated record. NCBI's taxonomy places the organism in Eukaryota, Viridiplantae, Streptophyta, Magnoliopsida, Poales, Poaceae.